GGGCUCACUAUGUAGUCCUGGCUGACUUUGAACUCACUUUGUAGCCCAGGCUGGCCUCAAAAUCACAACCAUCUUCCUGCCUCAGCCUCCUGAGUGCUGGGAUUACAGGCAUGUGUUACCAUGCCC
Molecule: microRNA precursor, 126 nt
Filed under: Octodon degus (degu)
Lineage: Eukaryota; Metazoa; Chordata; Mammalia; Rodentia; Octodontidae
Description: miRNA (ENSODEG00000021985.1)
Source: RNAcentral